Molecule: unclassified non-coding RNA, 324 nt
Filed under: plant metagenome
Description: partial contains small subunit ribosomal RNA, internal transcribed spacer 1, and 5.8S ribosomal RNA
Source: RNAcentral
UUUCCGUAGGUGAACCUGCGGAAGGAUCAUUAUUGAAUAAACAGUGUGGGUUGUUGCUGGCCUUCUGGCAUGUGCACGCCUGCCAUAUGUUUCAUUCCCUUCUUUCCACCUGUGCACUAUGUGUAGGCUAUGUAUGCUGUAUUGUCAGGCCCUUCAUAAGGCUUGGUUUAGAGAGGAUGCUUGUCUUUAUGAGACAGGCUCAUCUUGGGCGUACAGGUCUAUGUCUUACACCAACACCAAAUGAAUGUCUUAGAAUGUAUUUUUUCAGGCUCUUGCUAGCCUUUAAACCAUAUACAACUUUCAACAACGGAUCUCUUGGCUCUC